Molecule: ribosomal RNA, 558 nt
Filed under: Triticum aestivum (bread wheat)
Lineage: Eukaryota; Viridiplantae; Streptophyta; Magnoliopsida; Poales; Poaceae
Description: partial small subunit ribosomal RNA
Source: RNAcentral
AUGCACGUAUCUGUGUUACAAGACGAUGUCUGGUGCAUGCAUACCUCGAUCACAAGUACACACCACCCUUUUUUGCUAUGGGUACCAAGACCUGUGGUCGUCGACAAUAAAAUAUAUAUGGCCUCCAUGAACAACAUCCAUGCCUUGGAUUUGUCAGCCUCAAGUUUCUCCAUAGUUAAGCUCCCACACAUGGUGGCGAAGUAUGGCAUGAGAAACGCUGUGAUGUCACGGGCUAAUGAUGAUUCCGGUGUAUAUCUUAUCCAUGCUAAGGAGCUUCAACUUGGCAUAUGGUUCCACAAGAAGGACAAAUGGUUGCCAGUGGAUACCAUUUGUUUGCGUAAGAUGCUUGAUAAUUUGAGGAUAUCUCAUAAUGAGAAUGUCCAUCUAAACCAAGUGGGGAACAAUGCCGAGUUUGUGCUUUUGCAGGCGGGUCAAUCUAUACUCUACUUGGAUAUUAAGUGCAGGAAGUUGCGUAAAGUGUAUGAGCUUGGAAGAUAUGAUAUACUGCAUUCUAUCCAUCCUUUUAUGAUGAUAUGGCCUCCCACAUUCCCUGCGAUU